This 348-nucleotide transfer-messenger RNA is filed under the name Oscillospiraceae. Its description in RNAcentral is "Vescimonas sp934623575 Standard tmRNA". It matches the Rfam family "transfer-messenger RNA". Rfam says of the family: Bacterial tmRNA, also known as 10Sa RNA or SsrA, is named for its dual tRNA and mRNA-like properties. Its role is to liberate the mRNA from a stalled ribosome. The record is from RNAcentral. RNAcentral also lists the same sequence under 1 other name. Lineage: Bacteria; Bacillati; Bacillota; Clostridia; Eubacteriales.
GGGGCUGCACCGGUUUCGACGGGGGUGUGGAGGCAGGAUAAGCGGGCGGCGGCGCCUGACCGCCAUAAAACGGGCAAAUUAAAAAUUAACUGACAACACUAAUACUGUUGCCGUCGCUGCUUAAGCAGUGACCGUCUGAACCGGAGCGGCCACCGGCCGGGGAAGGCGUCGUUAAGGUGGCGUCCGUGAGGCGGGUAAGAGUUGCCCCGCCCACGCAUCAUGACUCUACUGAACUGUGCAGUCUGCCAGGUGCCUGCACAGGGAGGGAAUGCUGAAACCUGGCUGCGCCCGGAGAAAGUCCUGUCAAAGUGCUUUCGGACAGGGGUUCGACUCCCCUCAGCUCCACCA